Molecule: ribosomal RNA, 430 nt
Filed under: uncultured bacterium
Lineage: Bacteria
Description: partial 16S ribosomal RNA
Rfam family: Bacterial small subunit ribosomal RNA
Source: RNAcentral
AGCGAACGCUGGCGGCAGGCUUAACACAUGCAAGUCGAGCGCCCCGCAAGGGGAGCGGCAGAAGGGUGCGUAACACGUGGGAACGUACCCUUUGGUUCGGAACAACCCAGGGAAACUUGGGCUAAUACCGGAUAGGUCCGCGAGGAGAAAGAUUUAUCGCCGAAGGGUCGGCCCGUGUCUGCUUAGCCAGUUGGUGUGGUAACGGGGCAACAAGGCGACGCUCAGUAGCUGGUCUGAGCGGAUGAUCAGGCACACUGGGACUGGGACACGGCCCAGACUCCUACGGGAGGCAGCAGUGGUGAAUAUUGGACAAUGGGUCAACCCUGAUCCAGCCAUGCCGCGUGAGUGAUGAAGGCCCUAGGGUUGGAAAGCUCGUUCGGAGGGGAAGAUAAUGACGUUACCCACAGAAGAAGCCCCGGCUAACUUCGUG